UAUCCGUAGGUGAACCUGCGGAAGGAUCAUUAUUGAAUAAACCUGAUGUGGUUGUAGCUUGCCCUUUCGGGGGCAUGUGCACACCCGUCGUCUUUAUCUUUCCACCUGUGCACCUUUUGUAGACCUGAAUGUAACACUUUCCGAGGCAACUCGGUCGGGAGGAAUGCUGUCAGCUUUCCUUGAAUGUCCAGGCCUAUGUUUGCAUAUACCCCAAAGAAUGUAACAGAAUGUAUUAUUGGGCCUUGUGCCUAUAAACUAUAUACAACUUUCAGCAACGGAUCUCUUGGCUCUC
This 292-nucleotide unclassified non-coding RNA is filed under the name plant metagenome. Its description in RNAcentral is "partial contains small subunit ribosomal RNA, internal transcribed spacer 1, and 5.8S ribosomal RNA". The record is from RNAcentral.